UACGGGGGGGGCAAGCGUUGUUCGGAAUUACUGGGCGUAAAGGGCUCGUAGGCGGCCAACUAAGUCCUACGUGAAAUCCCUCGGCUUAACCGGGGAACUGCGUCUGAUACUGGAUGGCUUGAGUUCGGGAGAGGGAUGCGGAAUUCCAGGUGUAGCGGUGAAAUGCGUAGAUAUCUGGAGGAACACCGGUGGCGAAGGCGGCAUCCUGGACCGAUACUGACGCUGAGGAGCGAAAGCCAGGGGAGCAAACGGG
RNAcentral lists this ribosomal RNA (253 nucleotides) under uncultured bacterium. Its description in RNAcentral is "partial 16S ribosomal RNA". It matches the Rfam family "Bacterial small subunit ribosomal RNA", at positions 524 to 776 of the family's 1533-position model. The record is from RNAcentral.